This 253-nucleotide unclassified non-coding RNA is filed under the name uncultured Rhodobacterales bacterium. RNAcentral describes it as "contains 16S-23S intergenic spacer region". It matches the Rfam family "Bacterial small subunit ribosomal RNA", at positions 524 to 776 of the family's 1533-position model. The record is from RNAcentral. Lineage: Bacteria; Pseudomonadati; Pseudomonadota; Alphaproteobacteria; Rhodobacterales.
UACGGAGGGGGUUAGCGUUGUUCGGAAUUACUGGGCGUAAAGCGCGCGUAGGAGGAUCAGAACGUUGGGGGUGAACUCCCGGGGCUCAACCUCGGAACUGCCUCCAAAACUCCUGGUCUUGAGGUCGAGAGAGGUGAUUGGAAUGCCGAGUGUAGAGGUGAAAUUCGUAGAUAUUCGGAGGAACACCAGUGGCGAAGGCGGCUCACUGGCUCGAUACUGACGCUGAGGUGCGAAAGUGUGGGGAGCAAACAGG